RNAcentral lists this ribosomal RNA (490 nucleotides) under uncultured bacterium. Its description in RNAcentral is "partial 16S ribosomal RNA". It matches the Rfam family "Bacterial small subunit ribosomal RNA", at positions 30 to 507 of the family's 1533-position model. The record is from RNAcentral.
AUUGAACGCUGGCGGCAGGCCUAACACAUGCAAGUCGAACGGUAACAGGAAGAAGCUUGCUUCUUUGCUGACGAGUGGCGGACGGGUGAGUAAUGUCUGGGAAACUGCCUGAUGGAGGGGGAUAACUACUGGAGACGGUAGCUAAUACCGCAUAACGUCGCAAGACCAAAGAGGGGGACCUUCGGGCCUCUUGCCAUCGGAUGUGCCCAGAUGGGAUUAGCUAGUAGGUGGGGUAACGGCUCACCUAGGCGACGAUCCCUAGCUGGUCUGAGAGGAUGACCAGCCACACUGGAACUGAGACACGGUCCAGACUCCUACGGGAGGCAGCAGUGGGGAAUAUUGCACAAUGGGCGCAAGCCUGAUGCAGCCAUGCCGCGUGUAUGAAGAAGGCCUUCGGGUUGUAAAGUACUUUCAGCGGGGAGGAAGGGAGUAAAGUUAAUACCUUUGCUAAUUGACGUUACCCGCAGAAGAAGCACCGGCUAACUCCGUG